AACGCGAAGAACCUUACCUGGGCUUGACAUGCUGGUGUAAGCCGGUGGAAACAUCGGCCCCUCUUCGGAGCGCCAGCACAGGUGCUGCAUGGCUGUCGUCAGCUCGUGUCGUGAGAUGUUGGGUUAAGUCCCGCAACGAGCGCAACUCUCGCUCCCAGUUGCCAGCGGUUCGGCCGGGGACUCUGGGGGGACUGCCGGCGUUAAGCCGGAGGAAGGUGGGGACGACGUCAAGUCAUCAUGGCCCUUACGUCCAGGGCGACACACGUGCUACAAUGCCUGGUACAGCGCGUCGCGAACUCGCAAGAGGGAGCCAAUCGCCAAAAGCCGGGCUAAGUUCGGAUUGUCGUCUGCAACUCGACGGCAUGAAGCCGGAAUCGCUAGUAAUCGCGGAUCAGCCACGCCGCGGUGAAUACGUUCCCGGGCCUUGUA
This 429-nucleotide ribosomal RNA is filed under the name uncultured Gemmatimonadota bacterium. RNAcentral's name for it is "bacterial SSU rRNA". It matches the Rfam family "Bacterial small subunit ribosomal RNA", at positions 958 to 1385 of the family's 1533-position model. Lineage: Bacteria; Pseudomonadati; Gemmatimonadota. The record is from RNAcentral.